UACGGGGGGGGCAAGCGUUGUUCGGAAUUACUGGGCGUAAAGGGCGCGUAGGCGGCCUUGCAAGUCGGUUGGUGAAAGCCCGGGGCUCAACCCCGGAGGUGCGGCCGAGACUGCAGGGCUGGAGGCCGGAAGAGGAGGGUGGAAUACCCAGUGUAGAGGUGAAAUUCGUAGAUAUUGGGUGGAACACCGGUGGCGAAAGCGGCUCUCUGGUCCGGACCUGACGCUGAGGCGCGAAAGCGUGGGGAGCAAACAGG
Molecule: ribosomal RNA, 254 nt
Filed under: uncultured bacterium
Lineage: Bacteria
Description: partial 16S ribosomal RNA
Rfam family: Bacterial small subunit ribosomal RNA
Source: RNAcentral